Malus domestica (apple) is the source of this 486-nucleotide non-coding RNA. The record is from RefSeq and is a predicted model, not a curated record. NCBI's taxonomy places the organism in Eukaryota, Viridiplantae, Streptophyta, Magnoliopsida, Rosales, Rosaceae.
UACAAAUUUAUAACAUUUUAAGACAAAAACACCCCUUAUCUUUAUCAAUAUUUACACCAUCCAAAAAAACAAACCCUAAAAUUCCAUCUUCUUCGUUCCAUCUUCUCUGCCUGCUGCUGCCUUUUCCCGUAGGCUUCCUCCUCAUCCUCUCCUGUAGCAGCUGCAUCUCCAGGUUCGAUCUUGAUCUUCUCCCGUAGCCGUUGCAUCUCCAGGUUUGAUCUCAAUCUUCUCCCGUAGCUGCUGCAUCUCCAGAAGCAAUUGAUUGAGUUGGAUGUGAUGCUAUUGGAGCUGCAAAUCGUUGAGUCUUCAAAAUGAACACAUUGUGAUGUGCUAGUUGGGGAGUUGGAGAAUCAAACCGUAGAUGGAGGGCAAGUGGUUGUGCAAGAAGAAGUCUUCUGAGAAGAGCUCUGGAGAAACUUGUAUAAAUAACAAACACCUCUCUGUAAUUCAUUCAUUGGUCAAGGAAUACAAUCUUUAAUUAUUCAC